GGAAUAUUGCACAAUGGGCGAAAGCCUGAUGCAGCGACGCCGCGUGAGGGAUGACGGCCUUCGGGUUGUAAACCUCUUUCAGUAGGGAACAAGGCCAGGCAUUGUCUGGUUGAGGGUACUUGCAGAAGAAGCGCCGGCUAACUACGUGCCAGCAGCCGCGGUAAUACGUAGGGCGCAAGCGUUAUCCGGAAUUAUUGGGCGUAAAGAGCUCGUAGGCGGUUUGUCGCGUCUGCCGUGAAAGUCCGGGGCUCAACUCCGGAUCUGCGGUGGGUACGGGCAGACUAGAGUGAUGUAGGGGAGACUGGAAUUCCUGGUGUAGCGGUGAAAUGCGCAGAUAUCAGGAGGAACACCGAUGGCGAAGGCAGGUCUCUGGGCAUUAACUGACGCUGAGGAGCGAAAGCAUGGGGAGCGAACAGGAUUAGAUACCCGGG
RNAcentral lists this ribosomal RNA (431 nucleotides) under uncultured Arthrobacter sp. RNAcentral's name for it is "bacterial SSU rRNA". It matches the Rfam family "Bacterial small subunit ribosomal RNA", at positions 358 to 790 of the family's 1533-position model. Lineage: Bacteria; Bacillati; Actinomycetota; Actinomycetes; Micrococcales; Micrococcaceae. The record is from RNAcentral.